UACGAGUGGCCCAAGCGUUAUCCGGAAUUAUUGGGCGUAAAGGAUGUGUAGGUGGUUGUAUUAGUCGGGUGUGAAAUCCCCAGGCUUAACCUGGGAACUGCAUUCGAGACUGCAUUGCUAGAGUAUGGGAGAGGGAAGUGGAAUUUCCGGUGUAGCGGUGAAAUGCGUAGAUAUCGGAAGGAACAUCAGUGGCGAAAGCGACUUCCUGGACCAAUACUGACGCUCAUGUGCGAAAGCGUGGGGAGCAAACAGG
Molecule: ribosomal RNA, 253 nt
Filed under: uncultured bacterium
Lineage: Bacteria
Description: partial 16S ribosomal RNA
Rfam family: Bacterial small subunit ribosomal RNA
Source: RNAcentral